Epinephelus lanceolatus (giant grouper) is the source of this 399-nucleotide non-coding RNA. NCBI's taxonomy places the organism in Eukaryota, Metazoa, Chordata, Actinopteri, Perciformes, Serranidae. The record is from RefSeq and is a predicted model, not a curated record.
UCAGGUGCAGUCUCAGGUGCAGCAGAUGUCCGUCAGGCUGCAGGUGGAGCAGGAGCAGCGGCAGCAGCUGGAAAAACAGCUGCAGCAGGCUCAACAGGAAGUGAUGGAGCUGCAGCAGCGGGUGGAGGCUGAUCAGAGAUCUGAGGAGGUGAAAGAGGAGCUGAAGGUGGAGGCAGUCCAGGUGAAGGAGGAGACGCCAGUGUGAAACACACUUUGUUUCCCUCGUGUCUUGUCACCAUGGUUACAUGCAGCAGAGGUUGCGGCUUCAGCGGAGAGACAGAAACCAUUGAUGGUGAUGAUGAUGAUGGUGAUGAUGAUGAAAAGUGACCAAAGUUAAAUAUGUUUUCUUUCACUGUGACAAAUAAACUGUAACGUCUGAAUCUGACGUUGUUUUUUCUU